Molecule: ribosomal RNA, 454 nt
Filed under: uncultured Porphyromonadaceae bacterium
Lineage: Bacteria; Pseudomonadati; Bacteroidota; Bacteroidia; Bacteroidales; Porphyromonadaceae
Description: bacterial SSU rRNA
Rfam family: Bacterial small subunit ribosomal RNA
Source: RNAcentral
ACGGGAGGCAGCAGUGAGGAAUAUUGGUCAAUGGCCGAAAGGCUGAACCAGCCAUGCCGCGUGAAGGAAUACGGUCCUAUGGAUUUUAAACUUCUUUUGAUAGGGAGCAAUAAGAGCUACGCGUAGUUCGAUGAGAGUACCUAUCGAAUAAGCAUCGGCUAACUCCGUGCCAGCAGCCGCGGUAAUACGGAGGAUGCAAGCGUUAUCCGGAUUUAUUGGGUUUAAAGGGUGCGUAGGCGGUAUUUUAAGUCAGUGGUGAAAUACCAUCGCUCAACGAUGGGGCUGCCAUUGAUACUGGAGUACUAGAAUGAGCCUGCCGUGGGAGGAAUGUGUGGUGUAGCGGUGAAAUGCAUAGAUAUCACACAGAACACCGAUUGCGAAGGCAUCUCACGAAAGCUUAAUUGACGCUGAGGCACGAAAGCGUGGGGAUCAAACAGGAUUAGAUACCCUGGUA